UUCUUCCUUUUGGUGCGAGCUUGCUGUGGUUUUUGCUCUGGGUCCUCUGGGAUGGCGCCUGGCUGUGGCCGCGUGGUCUCUCACGCAGGGGCGCCGGGCGGGGGAACGCGGCCACCCUGAGUCUGGUGAGUCGACUGCGGCGGCCUGUGUCCGAAGUGUCCGGGGCCGUGAACAAGGGCAGCGGCCUGGCCUCAGGCCUGCGUUCCCACGUUUGGAAACGGGGAGCUUCGUCGAUUUGUGUUUACAUCAUCGACUAUGCCAGGGAGUUCUCCAGAUAAGCCUGGUUUUAUUUUCGUCAGUGAAAAGGCCUUACCGUAUAACUGACUUUAUGCUUGCCCUGCCCCCGUAUAAAAUAACUUAAAAGCAGCGUGCCUGGUUACAGCUGUUUCCACGUGCGGUGCUCGUCGGGAGUGAUCACCUACCCUACAGGUGGAAGAUGGAUGCCUGAAGUGUAGACUGCUGCUAGCUGAAUACCAUCUGGGAGCAUAAAGGUGACCUGAAGGAUGUCCUUGGUGAGGAUUUUGAAAAUUUGAUCUUCACAAGAGUUGCCUGGAUCAUUUGAAAUUUCUGGGAGUCUGAGGAGUACUGACAUAAUUACCUGCUGGAGUCUGAAACGACAAAUAAU
This 625-nucleotide long non-coding RNA is filed under the name Homo sapiens (human). RNAcentral's name for it is "HSALNT0328848". Lineage: Eukaryota; Metazoa; Chordata; Mammalia; Primates; Hominidae. The record is from RNAcentral.